UUUGGAAAGAAGAGGUAUUAUCCGAAGUCUGCUGCCAGUAGCGGUGGUGUAGCAAAGGACUGAACUAUUGUUACAUCCAGAUGCAGUGCAGCCUUUUCAAACCUUUAGCUUACAGGUUUUGGAUAAAUUGCAUGUCUACUUCUGAAGCACAUGCAAAAUUCAUACAGGUUGAAGAUUCACUUUUGUUUUGUAUUUAUUAGCAGAUGUUACUUGCAUACCUUCAGAUUCACACACUUUUGAAUUGGCUCAGGAAGAUUAAAAAGUGUGUACAAAGGAACA
This 279-nucleotide unclassified non-coding RNA is filed under the name Hevea brasiliensis (rubber tree). Lineage: Eukaryota; Viridiplantae; Streptophyta; Magnoliopsida; Malpighiales; Euphorbiaceae. The record is from RNAcentral.